AAGCUCGUAGUUGAAUUUCGGGGUUCUACCGUUGGUCGGGCUAACCAGUCUGUACUAGCGUGUAGAAUUCUUACCUUCUGGGGAACCAUCAUGUUAUUAAUUUAGCGUGGUGGGAAACCAGGACCUUUACCUUGAAAAAAUUAGAGUGUUCAAAGCAGGCUUACGUCUGAAUACAUUAGCAUGGAAUAAUAAAAUAGGACGGUGGUCCUGUUUUGUUGGUUUCUGAAUCACCGUAAUGAUUAAUAGGGAUAUUGGG
RNAcentral lists this ribosomal RNA (256 nucleotides) under uncultured Scutellospora. RNAcentral's name for it is "partial 18S ribosomal RNA". It matches the Rfam family "Eukaryotic small subunit ribosomal RNA", at positions 624 to 885 of the family's 1831-position model. Lineage: Eukaryota; Fungi; Glomeromycota; Glomeromycetes; Diversisporales; Gigasporaceae. The record is from RNAcentral.